UUCCGGUUGAUCCCGCCGGAGGCCAUUGCUAUUGGGAUCCGAUUUAGCCAUGCUAGUCGUACGAGUUCAGACUCGUGGCGAAUAGCUCAGUAACACGUGGCCAAACUACCCUUCGGACCGCAAUACCCUCGGGAAACUGAGGCUAAUAGCGGACACCACACGCAGACUGGAAUGUCGCGUGUGUCAAACGCUCCGGCGCCGAAGGAUGUGGCUGCGGCCGAUUAGGUAGACGGUGGGGUAACGGCCCACCGUGCCAAUAAUCGGUACGGGUCAUGAGAGUGAGAACCCGGAGACGGAAUCUGAGACAAGAUUCCGGGCCCUACGGGGCGCAGCAGGCGCGAAACCUUUACACUGCACGCCAGUGCGAUAAGGGGAUCCCAAGUGCGUAGGCAUAGAGCCUACGCUUUUGUCCACCCUAGGGUGGUGGACGAAUAAGGGCUGGGCAAGACCGGUGCCAGCCGCCGCGGUAAUACCGGCAGCCCGAGUGAUGGCCGAUCUUAUUGGGCCUAAAGCGUCCGUAGCUGGCCGCACAAGUCCAUCGGGAAAUCCACCUGCUCAACAGGUGGGCGUCCGGUGGAAACUGUGUGGCUUGGGACCGGAAGGCGCGACGGGUACGUCCGGGGUAGGAGUGAAAUCCCGUAAUCCUGGACGGACCGCCGAUGGCGAAAGCACGUCGCGAAAACGGAUCCGACAGUGAGGGACGAAAGCUAGGGUCUCGAACCGGAUUAGAUACCCGGGUAGUCCUAGCCGUAAACACUGCCUGCUAGGUGUGGCACCCACUACGAGUGGGUGCUGUGCCGUAGGGAAGCCGCUAAGCAGGCCGCCUGGGAAGUACGUCCGCAAGGAUGAAACUUAAAGGAAUUGGCGGGGGAGCACUACAACCGGAGGAGCCUGCGGUUUAAUUGGAUUCAACGCCGGAAA
This 921-nucleotide ribosomal RNA is filed under the name uncultured archaeon. RNAcentral's name for it is "bacterial SSU rRNA". It matches the Rfam family "Archaeal small subunit ribosomal RNA", at positions 1 to 924 of the family's 1478-position model. The record is from RNAcentral.